Molecule: long non-coding RNA, 1213 nt
Filed under: Homo sapiens (human)
Lineage: Eukaryota; Metazoa; Chordata; Mammalia; Primates; Hominidae
Description: non-protein coding lnc-TRIO-1:3
Source: RNAcentral
GUUUCAUCAGCCCUGCUUUCUCCCGCUCCGUGACUUUGCAUCAGUUGUCAUGAGGAUGAUUAAAUAAUUUAGCACUUAGCCCCCUGCUGUACUCCUUGGCCUGGAUCAUGACCACACCGAAGGAGUGCCCACCAGCAAGAGACCUGGAGACAUCCCCAGUAAGUGCAAAAGCUGGACACAGUCUUAGGGUCUCCUGCCGGAGGCGGAGGGGAUGAGGGGAAAUGCAUUGCGGCUCCAAGAGGAAUCGCUGGGGAGUGAAUAUUGGAAGGACUGUGUGUGUGCAUUCUGAGCUUCCCAGCAGCCCAGGGGUGGAAAAUAGUGUGUCAAUCACUACAUCAGCCUAGAAUACAACAUCCUCCACUUCCCUGGUAACCUCCCCUCUACUGCCUCUAGACCACUUCAAGUCAUUCCAGAAAUGGCUGAGCCCUUUCACCCUACAGGGUUGACUGGAUCAGAGGAGAACCCCGGGCCAAGCUGGACCAAUCAGAGUUUCCAUCCCUGAAUUUGGAAUUGGAGCUAAGCUAGAACCUGUCUCUUUGAUGGCAGUAAAUGUGAAGCUCAAACACUAGUGAUUGGCUUCUCUCUCCAAAAAGACUAUGGACACAAACAAAGCCAGUCUUCAGAAAGACAGGAACAAGAAUGAUGCAGACACAUCAUGUGUGCAGAGAUGAGAGCCCUAGGUUACCUGCAUCUGCUUCUUGCACCUUCCUGAGACCUGGCAUCAUCACUACCCACGCUGUAAUUCCCCGAGACAACCCUGGCCCAGGCCCCUUUCACUGCUUUAAUUCCUGCAAGCAGAAUCUGGGAUGAACAGUCUGCAUGCCUCUCGCCACCUGUCCCAGGGAUUCCCUGUUCCACAAGACACUUGGGAUCUGCUUGUCAUGCAUCAUGCGUAACUAAUAGUGCAGAGGAAUUAAUACAGUUAAGUGAAACGUCCGUCAGUGGGAAGCCGGAGCAAGGGAAAAUUCUCCUUCCUUUCCCCUCCUCGACUGCCCUGGUUUCAUGUGGCCUCAUGGCAGAAGCCCGCCAGACUGCUACCUGGAUGCAACCAGCUAAAUAACCUGCCCUCAUAUUGAUUCUCCCUCCUCCCCUGCUUCUCCACACUUUUCCCUCACUCUUGCCUUCCUGGGAUUGGACCCCUCAUAAAUUUCAUAACACAAAUCCUUGCCUCAGGCUCUGCUUUUUAGGGAACUCAAUCCAAGACAUUCUUGGU